Cryptotermes secundus is the source of this 490-nucleotide long non-coding RNA. RefSeq lists it as uncharacterized. NCBI's taxonomy places the organism in Eukaryota, Metazoa, Arthropoda, Insecta, Blattodea, Kalotermitidae. The transcript has 2 exons. The record is from RefSeq and is a predicted model, not a curated record.
ACUGGAUCUGUCUCCGAAACGUCGUGGUAUUUUGUCUUUUACAUACCAGAUGAUGGGUGAAGUCCAAAAGAAAUAAAGUGCAUGCAGUAUUGCCCAGAAAUGUCUGACUGACUGCUGGAGUGGGAACAUAAAAAUAUCACAUGCAUUUUGACAAAUCACUAGUACUCAAUGUUUUUAGGCAAGAGGACGGUGAGUUCCUUAAUGUGCAGGAGCAAACCCUGUGUUUCUGUCUCUAGCAGUUGGGAGUUUUACAGCUGUUUUAGUUCUCCCAUACUAGAGCAUUUAUGUUGCUCCAAGACAAUUGAUUUGUUAUUUAUCUGAUUACUUAAUACAUAUCCAUAAUAUGGACUUAAAUGAAGGUGAAAGGAUGAUAGAGAAGAUGAGGAAUUGAGAGCAGCGGAGACUGGUUGUAGAGGAGGCCAAGGCUCACCCAGGGCUAUAGCGCUGAGUGGUAGGUACGUAAUACGGAGUUAAAACAAUCUCAUAAUCA